GACGAACGCUGGCGGCGUGCUUAACACAUGCAAGUCGAACGGCAAGGCCCUGCUUUUGUGGGGUGCUCGAGUGGCGAACGGGUGAGUAACACGUGAGUAACCUGCCCUUGACUUUGGGAUAACUUCAGGAAACUGGGGCUACUACCGGAUAGGAGCCCCUGCUGCAUGGAGGGGGUUGGAACGUUUCGGCGGUCGGGGAUGGACGCGCGGCUUAUCAGCUUGUUGGUUGGGUAGUGGCUGACCAAGGCUUUGACGGGUAGCCGGCCUGAGAGGGUGGACGGGCACAAUGGGCCUGAGAGAGGGCCCAGACUCGUACGGGAGGCAGCAGUGGGGAGUAUGGCACAAUGGGCGGAAGCCUGAUGCAGCAGCGCCGCGUGCGGGAUGACGGUCUGCGGGUUGUAAACCGCUUUCGCCUGUGACGAAGCGUGAGUGACGGUAAUGGGUAAAGAAGCACCGGCUAACUACGUG
This 468-nucleotide ribosomal RNA is filed under the name uncultured bacterium. RNAcentral describes it as "partial 16S ribosomal RNA". It matches the Rfam family "Bacterial small subunit ribosomal RNA", at positions 28 to 507 of the family's 1533-position model. The record is from RNAcentral.